UGGUGCUUCGCUGACGAGUGGCGGACGGGUGAGUAAUGUCUGGGAAACUGGCUGAUGGAGGGGGAUAACUACUGGAAACGGUAGCUAAUACCGCAUAACGUCGCAAGACCAAAGAGGGGGACCUUAGGGCCUCUUGCCAUCGGAUGUGCCCAGAUGGGAUUAGCUAGUAGGUGGGGUAACGGCUCACCUAGGCGACGAUCCCUAGCUGGUCUGAGAGGAUGACCAGCCACACUGGAACUGAGACACGGUCCAGACUCCUACGGGAGGCAGCAGUGGGGAAUAUUGCACAAUGGGCGCAAGCCUGAUGCAGCCAUGCCGCGUGUAUGAAGAAGGCCUUCGGGUUGUAAAGUACUUUCAGCGGGGAGGAAGGGAGUAAAGUUAAUACCUUUGCUCAUUGACGUUACCCGCAGAAGAAGCACCGGCUAACUCCGUGCCAGCAGCCGCGGUAAUACGGAGGGUGCAAGCGUUAAUCGGAAUUACUGGGCGUAAAGCGCACGCAGGCGGUUUGUUAAGUCAGAUGUGAAAUCCCCGGGCUCAACCUGGGAACUGCAUCUGAUACUGGCAAGCUUGAGUCUCGUAGAGGGGGGUAGAAUUCCAGGUGUAGCGGUGAAAUGCGUAGAGAUCUGGAGGAAUACCGGUGGCGAAGGCGGCCCCCUGGACGAAGACUGACGCUCAGGUGCGAAAGCGUGGGGAGCAAACAGGAUUAGA
Molecule: ribosomal RNA, 708 nt
Filed under: Escherichia coli
Lineage: Bacteria; Pseudomonadati; Pseudomonadota; Gammaproteobacteria; Enterobacterales; Enterobacteriaceae
Description: bacterial SSU rRNA
Rfam family: Bacterial small subunit ribosomal RNA
Source: RNAcentral